This 257-nucleotide ribosomal RNA is filed under the name uncultured bacterium. RNAcentral's name for it is "partial 16S ribosomal RNA". It matches the Rfam family "Bacterial small subunit ribosomal RNA", at positions 524 to 776 of the family's 1533-position model. The record is from RNAcentral.
UACGUAGGUGGCAAGCGUUGUCCGGAUUUAUUGGGUUUAAAGGGGUGCGUAGGCGGUUUCAUAAGUCAGUGGUGAAAUACGGGCAGCCUCAACUGUCGAGGUGCCAUUGAUACUGUGAGACUUGAGUACAGACGAGGUAGGCGGAAUUGACGGUGUAGCGGUAGAAAUGCUUAGAUAUCGUCAAGAACACCGAUAGCGAAGGCAGCUUACUAGGCUGUAACUGACGCUGAGGCACGAAAGUGUGGGGAUCAAACAGG